GGGUGAGGCUCAAGGUAAGAUUUUAGGUGAAACAAAAUAGCUCUUCAACUUAAUGUGUGACUAAGUGAAACCAAGCAAGUUACACACCGUAAGACAAUGACAGGGGUAUCAGCAUCGAUUUCACAGAUUUUCAGAAUGGCCCUGUGGCAGCUUCCAGCUGAGACAUUGCAGCUCUACACUGUACCUGAAGUUCUCCCCAGUGCCCCACAGCUUCAAGUGGCCACACCCUUGGUGAAGACACCAGUGCACCUCAAGGCAGGGAAGGGUCAUUUGAAGUAGGAAGACCUGCCCUAAAAGAAGGGAGCAUCUUCCAGUGGCAGCCCAGAGAAAAGGAGGUUGGAGAAAAAAGAUUUGCAUUUUGCCUGCUUGCCUUGUGUCUCACCAUCAAGUUCAUCUGCCCUGCUGCCACUGCUGCUGCUGCACCAUAACUUCACUGGCAUUAGAACCUAGCUUCUUGAGGCUCCCGACAUGGAACACCAGUUGUUCUCCAGACUGAAGACUCUCCAGGAAUCUUCCAGGCCUUCAGCACAAAUUGGAGCUACUGAAGAAUCCACUCCAUGGGCUGAG
RNAcentral lists this long non-coding RNA (567 nucleotides) under Cricetulus griseus (Chinese hamster). RNAcentral's name for it is "lncRNA (ENSCGRG00015029858.1)". Lineage: Eukaryota; Metazoa; Chordata; Mammalia; Rodentia; Cricetidae. The record is from RNAcentral.